CUGCUCGGUAUAAGAUUUUGGCUCAAGUUUGCCAAUUGGAUGCAUGAAGUCUGAGGAGUGAGAUGUCACGAGAAGUUUGGUGAGGAAGGAAACAAGUAUUUCUGACACACCACAUGCCAAAUGUAUGCCAUCUCAAAAGAUUUAGCCAUCUAUCUCCAUAAACGAGGAUACCUACCGUUUUUGGCGGUUGAACCGGUUACACCAAAUAGCCGGUUUAGUGAAGAUCAUGUUCAAUGGUUGGUUAUGGAUAUCUUACAGUUUUGCGAAUUUCAACCUACAACUCGUUUUACAUAUACCAUGUUGGUCAUGGAUUUCUCUUGCAUUGUUUACAAACCACUACCAUAAGUGUUCCCAAGUUCCAACCAGCAACCAUGACCACUUCUGGUUACCGCCACUCUCAGCAUCACUCGCAUCUUGAAGGUAAAGGUAGAGAUAGAUAUAUAGUU
Erigeron canadensis is the source of this 446-nucleotide long non-coding RNA. RefSeq lists it as uncharacterized. The record is from RefSeq and is a predicted model, not a curated record. The transcript is spliced from 3 exons. NCBI's taxonomy places the organism in Eukaryota, Viridiplantae, Streptophyta, Magnoliopsida, Asterales, Asteraceae.